GUUGUCUAGGUCUCAGUAAGGAACUCCCCUCACCUGGUUGUCUAGGUCUCAGUUAGGAACUCCCCUCACCUGGUUGUCUAGGUCUCAGUAAGGAACUCCCCUCACCUGGUUGUCUAGGUCUCAGUAAGGAACUCCCCUCACCUGGUUGUCUAGGUCUUAGUAAGGAACUCCCCUCACCUGGUUGUCUCAUCUGUCUGUUGGUCUGUCAUGUUUUGUCUGUCUUGUCUGUGUAGCGUCUUACCCGUCUCAGUGAAAGAGAC
This is a long non-coding RNA of Oncorhynchus keta (chum salmon), 260 nucleotides long. RefSeq lists it as uncharacterized. NCBI's taxonomy places the organism in Eukaryota, Metazoa, Chordata, Actinopteri, Salmoniformes, Salmonidae. The transcript has 3 exons. The record is from RefSeq and is a predicted model, not a curated record.